UAGCUCAGUACACGUGGACACGUACCCUAAGUGGAGCAUAAUCUCGGGAACUGAGGAUAUUCUCCAUAGACCAUGAGAUCUGGAAUGACUUAUGGUUCAAGUUCCGGCGCUUUAGGAUCGGUCUGCGGCCUAUCAGGUAGUAGUGGGUGUAACGUACCCCCUAGCCAUUACGGGUAUGGGCCUUGAGAGAGGGAGCCCAGAGUUGGAUUCUGAGACACGAAUCCGGCCCUACGGGGCGCAGCAGUCGCGAAAACUUCACAAUGGGCGAAAGCCCGAUGAGGGAUUCCUAGUGCUAGCACAUUUGUGUUAGCUUUUCCUUAGCGUAGAUAACUAGGGGAAAAGGCUGGGUAAGACGGGUGCAGCCGCCGCGGUAAUACCCGCAGCCCGAGUGUGUCGAUUUAUUGAGUCUAAACGUUCGUAGCCGGUCUGAUAAUCCCUGGGUAAUCGGUGCUUACCAUCC
Molecule: ribosomal RNA, 460 nt
Filed under: uncultured bacterium
Lineage: Bacteria
Description: bacterial SSU rRNA
Rfam family: Archaeal small subunit ribosomal RNA
Source: RNAcentral